RNAcentral lists this ribosomal RNA (384 nucleotides) under Chromobacterium sp. 50. Its description in RNAcentral is "bacterial SSU rRNA". It matches the Rfam family "Bacterial small subunit ribosomal RNA", at positions 99 to 478 of the family's 1533-position model. Lineage: Bacteria; Pseudomonadati; Pseudomonadota; Betaproteobacteria; Neisseriales; Chromobacteriaceae. The record is from RNAcentral.
CGAACGGGUGAGUAAUGCGUCGGAACUGUACCGUGUAAUGGGGGAUAGCUCGGCGAAAGCCGGAUUAAUACCGCAUACGCCCUGAGGGGGAAAGCGGGGGAUCGAAAGACCUCGCGUUAUACGAGCAGCCGACGUCUGAUUAGCUAGUUGGUGAGGUAAGAGCUCACCAAGGCGACGAUCAGUAGCGGGUCUGAGAGGAUGAUCCGCCACACUGGGACUGAGACACGGCCCAGACUCCUACGGGAGGCAGCAGUGGGGAAUUUUGGACAAUGGGGGCAACCCUGAUCCAGCCAUGCCGCGUGUCUGAAGAAGGCCUUCGGGUUGUAAAGGACUUUUGUCAGGGAGGAAAUCCCGCUGGUUAAUACCCGGCGGGGAUGACAGUAC